AUUGAACGCUGGCGGCAGGCUUAACACAUGCAAGUCGAGCGGAUGAAGGGAGCUUGCGCCUGGAUCCAGCGGCGGACGGGUGAGUAAUGCAUAGGAAUCUGCCUGGUAGUGGGGGAUAACGUCUGGAAACGGGCGCUAAUACCGCAUACGUCCUGAGGGAGAAAGAGGGGGAUCUUCGGACCUCACGCUAUCAGAGGAGCCUAGGUCGGAUUAGCUAGCUGGUGGGGUAAAGGCCUACCAAGGCGACGAUCCGUAACUGGUCUGAGAGGAUGAUCAGGCACACUGGAACUGAGACACGGUCCAGACUCCUACGGGAGGCAGCAGUGGGGAAUGUUGGACAAUGGGCGAAAGCCUGAUCCAGCCAUGCCGCGUGUGUGAAGAAGGUCUUCGGAUUGUAAAGCACUUUAAGUUGGGAGGAAGCGCAGUAAGUUAAUACCUUGCUGUAUUGACGGUACCGGCAGAAUAAGCACCGGCUAACUUCGUG
RNAcentral lists this ribosomal RNA (484 nucleotides) under uncultured bacterium. Its description in RNAcentral is "partial 16S ribosomal RNA". It matches the Rfam family "Bacterial small subunit ribosomal RNA", at positions 30 to 507 of the family's 1533-position model. The record is from RNAcentral.